Molecule: non-coding RNA, 105 nt
Filed under: Picochlorum sp. RCC944
Lineage: Eukaryota; Viridiplantae; Chlorophyta; Trebouxiophyceae
Source: RNAcentral
CAUGGAGCAAAGCUUCGUGCCUCAUAUUGAAGAGCUCGUAGAAGAGAGCGAGGUAGACAAAUUGGAGGAACGUGCCGCCUUGAAGCGUGCAGAGCAAGUGAAGAA